Molecule: ribosomal RNA, 468 nt
Filed under: uncultured bacterium
Lineage: Bacteria
Description: partial 16S ribosomal RNA
Rfam family: Bacterial small subunit ribosomal RNA
Source: RNAcentral
GACGAACGCUGGCGGCGUGCUUAACACAUGCAAGUCGAACGGAAAGGCCCUGCUUUUGUGGGGUGCUCGAGUGGCGAACGGGUGAGUAACGCGUGAGUAACCUGCCCUUGACUUUGGGAUAACUUCAGGAAACUGGGGCUAAUACCGGAUAGGAGCUCCUGCUGCAUGGUGGGGGUUGGAAAGUUUCGGCGGUUGGGGAUGGACUCGCGGCUUAUCAGCUUGUUGGUGGGGUAGUGGCUUACCAAGGCUUUGACGGGUAGCCGGCCUGAGAGGGUGACCGGCCACAUGGGGACUGAGAUACGGCCCAGACGCCUACGGGAGGCAGCAGUGGGGAGUAUUGCACAAUGGGCGGAAGCCUGUUGCGACAACGCCGCGUGCGGGAUGACGGCCUUCGGGUUGUAAACCGCUUUCGCCUGAGACGAAGCGUGAGUGACGGUAAUGGGUAAAGAAGCACCGGCUAACUACGUG